This 494-nucleotide ribosomal RNA is filed under the name uncultured bacterium. RNAcentral describes it as "partial 16S ribosomal RNA". It matches the Rfam family "Bacterial small subunit ribosomal RNA", at positions 28 to 507 of the family's 1533-position model. The record is from RNAcentral.
GACGAACGCUGGCGGCGUGCUUAACACAUGCAAGUCGAACGGAAAGGCCUGCUUUCCCUUGUGGAUUGCGGGUACUCGAGUGGCGAACGGGUGAGUAACACGUGAGUGAUCUGCCCCCAACUUGGGUAUAAGCCUGGGAAACUGGGUCUAAUUCCCGAUAGGACUGCAGGGUGGUGCCUGUGGUGGAAAACGAUUUUCUAGUGGUUGGGGAUGAGCUCGCGGCCUAUCAGCUUGUUGGUGGGGUAAUGGCCUACCAAGGCGGCGACGGGUAGCCGGCCUGAGAGGGUGGACGGCCACAUUGGGACUGAGAUACGGCCCAGACUCCUACGGGAGGCAGCAGAGGGGAAUAUUGCACAAUGGGCGGAAGCCUGAUGCAGCGACGCCGCGUGGGGGAUGACGGCCUUCGGGUUGUAAACUCCUUUCGACCGCGAGGAAGCCACCUGGUUGGAAGGGUGGUGACGGUAGUGGUAGAAGAAGCACCGGCUAACUACGUG